Molecule: transfer RNA, 84 nt
Filed under: Rathayibacter toxicus
Lineage: Bacteria; Bacillati; Actinomycetota; Actinomycetes; Micrococcales; Microbacteriaceae
Description: tRNA-Leu
Rfam family: tRNA
About the family: Transfer RNA (tRNA) molecules are approximately 80 nucleotides in length. Their secondary structure includes four short double-helical elements and three loops (D, anti-codon, and T loops).
Source: RNAcentral
GCGGGAGUGGUGAAAUGGCAGACACGCAGGAUUUAGGUUCCUGUGCCGAAAGGCGUGAGGGUUCGAGUCCCUCCUUCCGCACGA